RNAcentral lists this ribosomal RNA (503 nucleotides) under uncultured bacterium. RNAcentral describes it as "partial 16S ribosomal RNA". It matches the Rfam family "Bacterial small subunit ribosomal RNA", at positions 29 to 507 of the family's 1533-position model. The record is from RNAcentral.
AACGAACGCUGGCGGCGUGCCUAACACAUGCAAGUCGAACGAGAAAGGGGCUUCGGCUCCGAGUAAAGUGGCGCACGGGUGAGUAACACGUGGGUAACCUGCCUCUAAGAUUGGGAUAACUCGUCGAAAGAUGAGCUAAUACCGAAUAAGACCACAGUUCCCGCGGGAACAGGGGUCAAAGGUAGCCUCUGCUUGCAAGCUAUCACUUAGAGAUGGGCCUGCGCACCAUUAGCUAGUUGGUAGGGUAACGGCCUACCAAGGCAAAGAUGGUUAGCUGGUCUGAGAGGAUGAUCAGCCACACUGGAACUGAGACACGGUCCAGACUCCUACGGGAGGCAGCAGUGGGGAAUAUUGCGCAAUGGGCGAAAGCUUGACGAAGCAACGCCGCGUGAGUGAUGAAGGCCUUCGGGUCGUAAAGCUCUGUCGGGAGGAACGAAUGCUCCUGAGGUUAACAGCCUCGGGAGGUGACGGUACCUUCAAAGGAAGCACCGGCUAACUCUGUG